AAAGGCGCUUUCGGGUGUCGCUGAUGGAUGGACCCGCGGUGCAUUAGCUAGUUGGUGAGGUAACGGCUCACCAAGGCCACGAUGCAUAGCCGACCUGAGAGGGUGAUCGGCCACAUUGGGACUGAGACACGGCCCAAACUCCUACGGGAGGCAGCAGUAGGGAAUCUUCGGCAAUGGACGAAAGUCUGACCGAGCAACGCCGCGUGAGUGAAGAAGGUUUUCGGAUCGUAAAACUCUGUUGUUAGAGAAGAACAAGGAUGAGAGUAACUGUUCAUCCCUUGACGGUAUCUAACCAGAAAGCCACGGCUAACUACGUGCCAGCAGCCGCGGUAAUACGUAGGUGGCAAGCGUUGUCCGGAUUUAUUGGGCGUAAAGCGAGCGCAGGCGGUUUCUUAAGUCUGAUGUGAAAGCCCCCGGCUCAACCGGGGAGGGUCAUUGGAAACUGGGAGACUUGAGUGCAGAAGAGGAGAGUGGAAUUCCAUGUGUAGCGGUGAAAUGCGUAGAUAUAUGGAGGAACACCAGUGGCGAAGGCGGCUCUCUGGUCUGUAACUGACGCUGAGGCUCGAAAGCGUGGGGAGCAAACAGGAUUAGAUACCCUGGUA
RNAcentral lists this ribosomal RNA (602 nucleotides) under Enterococcus faecium. Its description in RNAcentral is "bacterial SSU rRNA". It matches the Rfam family "Bacterial small subunit ribosomal RNA", at positions 202 to 792 of the family's 1533-position model. Lineage: Bacteria; Bacillati; Bacillota; Bacilli; Lactobacillales; Enterococcaceae. The record is from RNAcentral.